This is a non-coding RNA of Paramisgurnus dabryanus, 667 nucleotides long. The record is from RefSeq and is a predicted model, not a curated record. Lineage: Eukaryota; Metazoa; Chordata; Actinopteri; Cypriniformes; Cobitidae.
GUAAGGAAUGGAGCUACUAGUAGCGCAGAGAUUGUGUCUAACACCAUUGUGGCUUUGUUCAGGCCUUGGAGUUAAUGUUCUCCUUACUUUAUCGUCGGGGCGCCGAUACAAAAUGGAGGGGUAGAUUGUGGCGUGAGGGUGGUCCUCUCGCGUCAUGACCGUGGUUAGCCUAUUGGCAACGCCCCUGGGCUAUAAAAACAGGAGCGUAUGCGUCACCUGGGAUGCGUCACUUGGGGGACUGCUGCGUCGUUAACGCGAUCCCGUCACUUCCGGAAUUGGCUGUGUAUUCUCGAGACGAGUCGCUGAUUAGUUUGGCAAGUGCUUCCGCAUUGAUACUGCGUUCAUCUUGGCGAGUGCUUCCGCAUUGAUACUGCGUUCAUCACAACGGUCUAUUCAAAGAGUGUCUGUACAAAGAGUGGAAAAGGUAGGAUGAAUGCUUUGUGGUUGAUUAACUGGUAAAUGCAUAACCUACUAAUUCGCUCUUUUCCCAGCUGUGCUAUUUUGAUAGCUGCUGGCAUAUUGUGUCUACCUUCAUUCUCAGCUGUGAGAUCUGAUGCGAGUGCGGAAUUAAGGUGCUCCGUAAGGGCAGCUGUUGAAAGCAACUAUUGUUGUCUGUUCGUCAUAAUUAACCCUGUGUUGAUCGGUUUGGGGACUAUCUGGGUCGGGG